CCUUCCCCCUAAAAUGAAAUGGGUAAGUCUCACCCUAAACUCUCCUCUCUUUCACUCAUUGCCUCCAUUUCUUCCAGUUGUAACCGCUGAUUGAGCAUGUACGAACAUUCAUAGAAGCAGUCCGGCCUCUUAUAAGCUACCACCAUUUUCCUCCAGCUAUCGACUCUCCUCUAACCGUCUUCACACAUCCCGCUUUGUCGUCACAAUAACCGAACUCAUUGCCAGCUCGUGUUGGAUUUCUAGAUUGGGCAUCUAGGAUUUUGGCAGUAGAUUGAAUAUUUGGAACUGGAAGAUGAUUUGAAGAGGAAAAUUUCCCCAAGUGAUUGGAUUUUUGGAAUUGGGCAUCUGAGAUUUGUGAAUGUGGGAAUUUGAGAUUGUU
Molecule: long non-coding RNA, 379 nt
Organism: Olea europaea var. sylvestris
Lineage: Eukaryota; Viridiplantae; Streptophyta; Magnoliopsida; Lamiales; Oleaceae
Exons: 2
Source: RefSeq, a predicted model, not a curated record